This 254-nucleotide ribosomal RNA is filed under the name uncultured bacterium. Its description in RNAcentral is "partial 16S ribosomal RNA". It matches the Rfam family "Bacterial small subunit ribosomal RNA", at positions 524 to 776 of the family's 1533-position model. The record is from RNAcentral.
UACGUAGGGACCGAGCGUUGUCCGGAAUCAUUGGGCGUAAAGAGCGUGUAGGCGGCCAGGUAGGUCUGCUGUUAAAACUCGAGGCUCAACCUCGAGACGUCGGCGGAAACCAUCUGGCUAGAGUCCGGAAGAGGAGAGUGGAAUUCCUGGUGUAGCGGUGAAAUGCGUAGAUAUCUGGAGGAACACCGGUGGCGAAGGCGGCAUCCUGGACCAACACUGACGCUGAGUGAGCGAAAGCCAGGGGAGCAAACGGG